UUGGAGGGCAGUCUGGUGCCAGCAGCCGCGGCAAUUCCAGCUCCAAUAGCGUAUAUUAAAGUUGUUGCAGUUAAAAAGCUCGUAGUUGAAUUUCGGGAUCAAAUUGUCGGUCGUGCCUAGGUACGCACUGGUGUUAUUGGUUCCUACCUUCUGAAGAACCGCGAUGUCAUUAAUUUGGUGUCGUGGGGAAUCAGGACUGUUACUUUGAAAAAAUUAGAGUGUUUAAAGCAGGCUUACGCUUGAAUACAUUAGCAUGGAAUAAUGAAAUAGGACGUUUGAUUCUAUUUUGUUGGUUUCUAGGAUUGACGUAAUGAUUAAUAGGGAUAGUUGGGGGCAUUAGUAUUCAAUUGUCAGAGGUGAAAUUCUUGGAUUUAUUGAAGACUAACUACUGCGGAAGCAUUUGCCAAGGAUGUUUUCAUUAAUCAAGAACGAAAGUUAGGGGAUCGAAGACGAUCAGAUACCGUCGUAGUCUUAACCAUAAACUAUGCCGACUAGGGAUCGGAUGAUGUUAAUUUUUUAAUGACUCAUUCGGCGCCUUACGGGAAAC
This 547-nucleotide ribosomal RNA is filed under the name uncultured Glomeromycotina. RNAcentral's name for it is "SSU rRNA". It matches the Rfam family "Eukaryotic small subunit ribosomal RNA", at positions 548 to 1098 of the family's 1831-position model. The record is from RNAcentral. Lineage: Eukaryota; Fungi; Glomeromycota.